Molecule: ribosomal RNA, 180 nt
Filed under: uncultured bacterium
Lineage: Bacteria
Description: partial 16S ribosomal RNA
Rfam family: Bacterial small subunit ribosomal RNA
Source: RNAcentral
UCCAGACUCCUACGGGAGGCAGCAGUGAGGAAUAUUGGUCAAUGGGCGAGAGCCUGAACCAGCCAAGUAGCGUGCAGGAUGACGGCCCUAUGGGUUGUAAACUGCUUUUAUAAGGGAAUAAAGUGAGUCUCGUGAGGCUUUUGCAUGUACCUUAUGAAUAAGGACCGGCUAAUUCCGUGC